UAACCUACCUUUCAGUGAGGAAUACCGGCGAGAAAUCGCCGACAAGACCGCAUACGCUUCUCUGGGGAAGGCCGGAGAAGGAAAGCUUCUGCGAAAGCAAGAGGUGCUGGAAGAUGGGCCUGUGGCCGAUUAGCUAGUUGGUGAGGUAAGGGCUCACCAAGGCGACGAUCGGUAGCUGGUCUGAGAGGACGAUCAGCCACACUGGGAUUGAGAACGGCCCAG
RNAcentral lists this ribosomal RNA (222 nucleotides) under uncultured bacterium. Its description in RNAcentral is "partial 16S ribosomal RNA". It matches the Rfam family "Bacterial small subunit ribosomal RNA", at positions 122 to 334 of the family's 1533-position model. The record is from RNAcentral.